GAUGAACGCUGGCGGCGUGCCUAAUACAUGCAAGUCGAGCGAACGGACGAGAAGCUUGCUUCUCUGAUGUUAGCGGCGGACGGGUGAGUAACACGUGGAUAACCUACCUAUAAGACUGGGAUAACUUCGGGAAACCGGAGCUAAUACCGGAUAAUAUUUUGAACCGCAUGGUUCAAAAGUGAAAGACGGUCUUGCUGUCACUUAUAGAUGGAUCCGCGCUGCAUUAGCUAGUUGGUAAGGUAACGGCUUACCAAGGCAACGAUGCAUAGCCGACCUGAGAGGGUGAUCGGCCACACUGGAACUGAGACACGGUCCGGACUCCUACGGGAGGCAGCAGUAGGGAAUCUUCCGCAAUGGGCGAAAGCCUGACGGAGCAACGCCGCGUGAGUGAUGAAGGUCUUCGGAUCGUAAAACUCUGUUAUUAGGGAAGAACAUAUGUGUAAGUAACUGUGCACAUCUUGACGGUACCUAAUCAGAAAGCCACGGCUAACUACGUGCCAACAGCCGCGGUAAUACGUAGGUGGCAAGCGUUAUCCGGAAUUAUUGGGCGUAAAGCGCGCGUAGGCGGUUUUUUAAGUCUGAUGUGAAAGCCCACGGCUCAACCGUGGAGGGUCAUUGGAAACUGGAAAACUUGAGUGCAGAAGAGGAAAGUGGAAUUCCAUGUGUAGCGGUGAAAUGCGCAGAGAUAUGGAGGAACACCAGUGGCGAAGGCGACUUUCUGGUCUGUAACUGACGCUGAUGUGCGAAAGCGUGGGGAUCAAACAGGAUUAGAUACCCUGGUAGUCCACGCCGUAAACGAUGAGUGCUAAGUGUUAGGGGGUUUCCGCCCCUUAGUGCUGCAGCUAACGCAUUAAGCACUCCGCCUGGGGAGUACGACCGCAAGGUUGAAACUCAAAGGAAUUGACGGGGACCCGCACAAGCGGUGGAGCAUGUGGUUUAAUUCGAAGCAACGCGAAGAACCUUACCAAAUCUUGACAUCCUUUGACAACUCUAGAGAUAGAGCCUUCCCCUUCGGGGGACAAAGUGACAGGUGGUGCAUGGUUGUCGUCAGCUCGUGUCGUGAGAUGUUGGGUUAAGUCCCGCAACGAGCGCAACCCUUAAGCUUAGUUGCCAUCAUUAAGUUGGGCACUCUAAGUUGACUGCCGGUGACAAACCGGAGGAAGGUGGGGAUGACGUCAAAUCAUCAUGCCCCUUAUGAUUUGGGCUACACACGUGCUACAAUGGACAAUACAAAGGGCAGCGAAACCGCGAGGUCAAGCAAAUCCCAUAAAGUUGUUCUCAGUUCGGAUUGUAGUCUGCAACUCGACUACAUGAAGCUGGAAUCGCUAGUAAUCGUAGAUCAGCAUGCUACGGUGAAUACGUUCCCGGGUCU
Molecule: ribosomal RNA, 1372 nt
Filed under: uncultured bacterium
Lineage: Bacteria
Description: bacterial SSU rRNA
Rfam family: Bacterial small subunit ribosomal RNA
Source: RNAcentral